AUUGAACGCUGGCGGCAUGCUUUACACAUGCAAGUCGAACGGUAACAGGUUAAGCUGACGAGUGGCGAACGGGUGAGUAAUGCAUCGGAACGUGCCCGGUCGUGGGGGAUAACGCAGCGAAAGCUGCGCUAAUACCGCAUACGAUCUGAGGAUGAAAGCGGGGGACCGUAAGGCCUCGCGCGAUCGGAGCGGCCGAUGUCAGAUUAGGUAGUUGGUGGGGUAAAGGCUCACCAAGCCAACGAUCUGUAGCUGGUCUGAGAGGACGACCAGCCACACUGGGACUGAGACACGGCCCAGACACCUACGGGAGGCAGCAGUGGGGAAUUUUGGACAAUGGGCGAAAGCCUGAUCCAGCAAUGCCGCGUGCAGGAAGAAGGCCUUCGGGUUGUAAACUGCUUUUGUACGGAGCGAAAAGGUCUCCUCUAAUACAGGGGGCUCAAGACGGUACCGUAAGAAUAAGCACCGGCUAACUACGUGCCAGCCGCCGCAGUAA
This 493-nucleotide ribosomal RNA is filed under the name uncultured bacterium. RNAcentral's name for it is "partial 16S ribosomal RNA". It matches the Rfam family "Bacterial small subunit ribosomal RNA", at positions 29 to 523 of the family's 1533-position model. The record is from RNAcentral.